This 797-nucleotide ribosomal RNA is filed under the name uncultured bacterium. Its description in RNAcentral is "bacterial SSU rRNA". It matches the Rfam family "Bacterial small subunit ribosomal RNA", at positions 8 to 794 of the family's 1533-position model. The record is from RNAcentral.
AGAGUUUGAUCAUGGCUCAGAACGAACGCUGGCGGCGCGUCUUAAGCAUGCAAGUCGGACGGCAAGGGGAGCUUGCUCCCCCUAGAGUGGCGGACUGGUGAGUAACGCGUGGGUGACCUACCCUUGAGAUGGGGAUAGCCAUUAGAAAUAGUGGAUAAUACCGAAUACGCUCUGGAUGCUUUGGCGACCAGAGGAAAUCAGGCUACGGCCUGGCUCGAGGAUGGGCCCGCGUCCCAUUAGCUAGUUGGUGAGGUAACGGCCCACCAAGGCGACGAUGGGUAUCCGGCCUGAGAGGGUGUACGGACACAUUGGGACUGAGAUACGGCCCAAACUCCUACGGGAGGCAGCAGCUAAGAAUAUUCCGCAAUGGACGAAAGUCUGACGGAGCGACGCCGCGUGGAUGAAGAAGGCCGGAAGGUUGUAAAAUCCUUUUGCUGAUGAAGAAUAAGUGUGGUAGGGAAUGACCGCAUGAUGACAUUAGUCGGUGAAUAAGCCCCGGCUAACUACGUGCCAGCAGCCGCGGUAACACGUAGGGGGCAAGCGUUGUUCGGAAUUAUUGGGCGUAAAGGGCAUGUAGGCGGUUUCGUAAGCCUGGUGUAAAAGUCUGCAGCUUAACUGCAGGGGUGCGCUGGGAACUGCUGAGCUUGAGUGACGGAGAGGGAGCUGGAAUUCCUGGUGUAGGGGUGAAAUCUGUAGAUAUCAGGAAGAACACCGAUGGCGAAGGCAAGCUCCUGGCCGAUGACUGACGCUGAGGUGCGAAAGUGUGGGGAUCAAACAGGAUUAGAUACCCUGGUAGU